AUGGUAUCAUAUUGUUGCAAGAAUGGACCAAAUAAGGGUAAGUUGUUUUGGAGAUGUCCUUAUUGGCAUAGUUCUGAUACGUAUAAUCUAUUCAUAUGGGAUGAAGAUCUUGGUGUAAAAUCUGGAAAUGAAGAUGUUACCAUUAGGAACUCAGAGUUGGAAGUCAUGGCAUUUGUGGGAUAUAUGAAGUCGUUUUGCUGA
Non-coding RNA from Vicia faba (fava bean), 201 nucleotides. The record is from the annotation of a GenBank genome assembly. Lineage: Eukaryota; Viridiplantae; Streptophyta; Magnoliopsida; Fabales; Fabaceae.